This 662-nucleotide small RNA is filed under the name Pan troglodytes (chimpanzee). RNAcentral describes it as "processed transcript". Lineage: Eukaryota; Metazoa; Chordata; Mammalia; Primates; Hominidae. The record is from RNAcentral.
AUCAGUUCUGAAGGAAGCCUGUGAUACAUAAAAGGUUAGACACCAGAUAGAAUAAGAAAAUUUAUAUUUUCCAAAGUGUCAUACAGACUCUAAAACUAAUUUGAAUAUUUUAUGUUCCAGACCCUCCUGCAUGAAAUGAUACAUGCCUAUUUAUUUGUCACUAAUAACGACAAAGACCGAGAAGGGCAUGGUCCAGAAUUUUGUAAACAUAUGCAUCGCAUCAACAGCCUGACUGGAGCCAACAUAACGGUAUACCAUACUUUUCACGAUGAGGUGGAUGAGUAUCGGCGACACUGGUGGCGCUGCAAUGGGCCGUGCCAGCACAGGCCACCGUAUUACGGCUAUGUCAAACGAGCUACUAACAGGGAACCCUCUGCUCAUGACUAUUGGUGGGCUGAGCACCAGAAAACCUGUGGAGGCACUUACAUAAAAAUCAAGGAACCAGAGAAUUACUCAAAAAAAGGCAAAGGAAAGGCAAAACUAGGAAAGGAACCAGUAUUGGCCGCAGAGAAUAAAGAUAAACCCAACAGAGGUGAGGCCCAGCUAGUAAUCCCUUUUAGUGGGAAAGGAUAUGUUCUAGGAGAAACAAGCAAUUUACCUUCACCUGGGAAACUGAUCACUUCACACGCCAUUAAUAAAACCCAAGAUCUUUUAAAUCAAAA